GCGUCACUGGUCUAACCUGGCGAGGACACUGGCCUUCCAAGCCAGUAGUCCCGGUUCGAAUCCGGGGUGACGCA
Halorientalis sp. IM1011 is the source of this 74-nucleotide transfer RNA. It matches the Rfam family "tRNA". From Rfam's summary of the family: Transfer RNA (tRNA) molecules are approximately 80 nucleotides in length. Their secondary structure includes four short double-helical elements and three loops (D, anti-codon, and T loops). NCBI's taxonomy places the organism in Archaea, Methanobacteriati, Methanobacteriota, Halobacteria, Halobacteriales, Haloarculaceae. The record is from Rfam.